Long non-coding RNA from Ctenopharyngodon idella (grass carp), 1196 nucleotides. RefSeq lists it as uncharacterized. Lineage: Eukaryota; Metazoa; Chordata; Actinopteri; Cypriniformes; Xenocyprididae. The transcript is spliced from 2 exons. The record is from RefSeq and is a predicted model, not a curated record.
UUUAAAAUAGAGAUAAGAACCAGCCUGAGAUUUUACAGGUUCUCUCUCUGAAAAUGCUUGGUGAUUUUUCUUAAGGAAUUAUUGAAAAUGUUGCACAAUGUGUGAGACCCCAACAUUUUAUACAUACACUGAUAAAUAAAAAUAUACUUUAGGUUUUAAGUCAGAUAAUCAGUCUUCUAGGAAGAUUUGACUUGAGACUUUUUAAAAGAUGUAAUUUAAACUUUUAAAUGUAUGCUUUGAAAUAAAAGUUAGCACAGACAAAACAAUGUUUCAUCACCCCCCUCUGUCUCAGGUUUCACAGCACGGUUGCAUGAAGUUACUUGGAGAGAGAGAUAUUUUUAGACUUCAACUUUAUUCAUGUUAAGGACAUCAAAAAAAAACAGAGAGAUGAGAGCAUCAUAAAAUGACCACAAGCAAGCUGGAAUGCGGAUGCCAUCACAUCACACCCUCAAAUAUGGCGUGUCAGAGUUCAAAAAGCCUUAAAAUCAUCCGUCUGCCAUUUGAUCACCCAGAAGAUGUCCAGAGGUUCACAGGGCACCAUCGCUAUUCAAAAUAUGUGGACAAAGGUCAUAUCGGGCCCCGGAGGAUCACCAACAAUGUCAAAGGUCAUUGGGGUGAUACUACGGUCAACCAUGGUAGGGGGAUGGGAAAACUUCGUGGGUGGUCCGUGGGGGAGGGGAACGUCGUGGGUGGUCCCAAGGGUCACAGAGGUCAGAAAGGUCAAAGGUCGCGAUCCAUCAUUUUGACAGAAGGUGCAGCAUAUAACUACUACUGUUUUUUAAAUAUUUUUGUUAUAGCAAAUAUAUGGUUGUGCAAAUGAACUAACAUCAUUCAAUCACACUUUUAACUAACCUGAUUUAAAAAAAACAAUCUCCUUAUUUUUUGCAUUCAUUAUUUUUCUGUAACUCUGACUGCAUGUGCUGAAAAAAAUGAGAAAUAAUAUUUUAUAAAAACCUUUAAAAUUGCCAGAGAAGGAAGGUAACACCAGUGACAAAAAAAAAAAAAAAAAAAAAAAAAAAAUCUGUCAUUUAUACACAUAAAUAAGCUGUCAUUUAUGUGUAUUCAUAAAGUCAAAGGGUAAUCAAAUAAUGUGGUCUAAGUUUAAAUGUUAGAAAAAGAAAUACAUUUUAAGACAUCUUGCCGUACCAAAAGUGGACGUUUGAGAAAUGAGAAAGAAUGAGAAAGAGAGUGCUGGC